Molecule: unclassified non-coding RNA, 1519 nt
Filed under: Melitaea cinxia (Glanville fritillary)
Lineage: Eukaryota; Metazoa; Arthropoda; Insecta; Lepidoptera; Nymphalidae
Description: misc RNA ENSMCXG00005019083.1
Source: RNAcentral
AGUCCUAUCAACACAUUCUUUAACCGGGAAACGGUCGCCGGCUUUUCCGGACAGGCCGGCUAAACUGUGUCUCGAUCGACAGAAAGUUACUGAUAUUAUACUAGCAGUGAGACAAAGAUUCAAGACUAAAGAGAAUAUAAUUAGGAACAUAAUAACAGUAAAAUGCGCUGACGAGGGUAAAAUGAUGAAGACACGACUAAUGAAACAGGAAGAAAAAGAAAAUGAAUAGAAGUCGGUGUAUGUGAAAUACUUAUUUUACUAUUUACUGUAUAAAUUAAAUAAAACAAUAGUUCCUGUUCGUUCGUUAAAACUGUCAAAAACUGUUAAGUUAGACCAUUUUAAUGUUAAGUUAAUAAAAGUAGGUUUUCAUUAUAAGAUAUUAACCUAUAUUUGCUUUUGUAAUGACUCUUGUAUAAUACUUUAAUUACACUAUUUGACGAUUAAGUAAUGGAUUAGGCUUUAGUAUUUCAAUAUUAUAAAUGGCAUUUAUAGUAGUAUCAUAUUGUUUUUGUAAUAUGCAUUAGUCAUAAUAGUAUUUUGUAUUUUGAUUUUAGUGUAUUUUUUGAGGAUAAAAAAUUAUGUGGUAUCAUGGGACACCAGGUAGGAACGAAGUUCUUUAGGAUAGCAUAGAAGCAACACAAUUUAAAAAAAUGUUGAUUUAUAUAUAUAUAUUUUAAUUUUGUUGAUUGAAUUUUAAUUAAGUUCAUAAAAGUAUUUAGGAAAUUUAGUAUUUUAGAAAAUAACAAAUACCAUAAAAUAAAAUGAAUGAAACAAAAUAACAAUAAUAAUUUAAACUAUUAAGUGAAAUAAAUAAACAUGUCUUUAUUUAUUUUUGUCGACAGUAUAAAAUUACAUAAAUAAUUUAAAAAAAGUUUACUAGUAAUAUUUUAGUUUUACAAACCUCAUAUUAUACAGUCUUGUGACUGAUAUUACGUCACUUCCGUUUUAUAUUUUUCUUACGGUUUUAGUAUCACAUUUUUUUCAGUUCGCUCACCCGGCCAAAUGUCAUGCCUGCCGUAAGGAACUUCGUUCCAAUAAGGAACCUUUUAGGGAACUCCAUCUUAGCAACGAUGUGUGAUCUAAGUUCUUAAACAUAUAAACGAAAAAACAUAAAAUUAAAAAAUAACAAUAAAUAAGAAAUUUUAAUUUGUUCGUGGUCAAUACAGACACAUCUCGUGAAAUAUUAAAAAAUACAUUAUUUUACAUAUGCAAUAAACUUGGCUGUUAGAGAUGUAGCACCAAGUUUAUGUACUUUACAGAUUAAAGGUCAAAAUAGGGUAAAUUGAAAGCAAUAAUUUUUUUAAGUGACGUGUGUGAGUGAGUAAGUGAGUAUAUGAAUAGGUUUAGAGACAUUUCAAUUUUUGUGUUGUUAUUGUAAAAUGUAUUAUGAAAAUUUAAUUUUAUCAAUUUAUCGAAUUUGUUGUUGACGUUCAUUGAUUUAAUUCACAUUGUAAUAAUUUUUAUUAAAUGGCAUUUAAUAACUAAAUAAAAAUCAUGAUUCAUGAUUGAUUGAUGAUGA